GUUUGAUCCUGGCUCAGAUUGAACGCUGGCGGCAUGCUUUACACAUGCAAGUCGAACGGUAGACCCUUUCGGGGGUUGAGAGUGGCGAACGGGUGAGUAAUGCAUCGGAACGUGCCUAGUCGUGGGGGAUAACGUAGCGAAAGUUACGCUAAUACCGCAUACGCACUGAGGUGGAAAGCGGGGGACCGUAAGGCCUCGCGCGAUUGGAGCGGCCGAUGUCGGAUUAGCUAGUUGGUGAGGUAAAGGCUCACCAAGGCGACGAUCCGUAGCGGGUCUGAGAGGAUGAUCCGCCACACUGGGACUGAGACACGGUCCCAGACUCCUACGGAGGCAGCAGUGGGGAAUUUUGGACAAUGGGCGCAAGCCUGAUCCAGCCAUGCCGCGUGCGGGAAGAAGGCCU
This 400-nucleotide ribosomal RNA is filed under the name uncultured bacterium. RNAcentral's name for it is "bacterial SSU rRNA". It matches the Rfam family "Bacterial small subunit ribosomal RNA", at positions 11 to 417 of the family's 1533-position model. The record is from RNAcentral.